Drosophila sulfurigaster albostrigata is the source of this 953-nucleotide long non-coding RNA. RefSeq lists it as uncharacterized. The record is from RefSeq and is a predicted model, not a curated record. The transcript is spliced from 3 exons. Lineage: Eukaryota; Metazoa; Arthropoda; Insecta; Diptera; Drosophilidae.
UAGGGUUAUUACUUUUGGGGGUAACUACGAUGUUACUGGUAAUGAUUGCUUUGUUCUCGGGUCGAUUUGGCAUUUUUUGUUAUUCUGUUUAAACUAGAGGUGCAGAAAUAUCGAUAUUAUCGAUGUUUGCCAAUCAUCGGAGCCACCAUCGAUGUUUUUUCACACAAUUCUGGGCUUGGUAGCAGCAAACAAAUAAAUUGUAAGUAAGAGAAGUUUUUAAUUGUUUUUCUAUAAUUAACUAAAUAUUUAAUUCAAUGAAGGGUUUCUAGUCGUGGUGUUGAUUAAUGUGGAUGGAUGCAGGAUGGACAACAACCUGAAAAGAGCUGGAUCGUCAGAUUCUUUAGAGUUGGAGACAGAAGCAAAACGGAAAAGAGAGCGUUCGAUAGCUUGGGACCAUUUCAAAAAGGGGACUGAUAAUAAACAUGGCAUUUACAACUAAUGCGGUAAAUGGCUGAAGACCGGUGGCAAUACCACAAACCUGCUUGACCAUCUCAAGCGCAUGCAUCAAAGUCGCUUAAGCACUGAAAGGGGAGAAAUGCCUAUGACGAUGGCAAAUUUUUUAAACAAGGAGUCGUUCUAUGGCAGUGACUCAGCGAUCAAAAAGAGACUUGAUCAGAAAGUCCUUAAGAUGAUUGUCAAAGACGUGCGACCAUUCAGUUUCGUACAUGAUGAAGGUUUUGUGGAACUCAUGCAAAAGCAGUCCCCCGCUAUAAAGUGCCAAGCCGAACUUAUUUUAGUGAUGUGAUGUUUCCCAGGGAAUAUGAUUAGCUACAGCAGAAAGUGCGUUCCGUAUUGGAUAAAGUAAAUUAUUGAUAUCUACAGCUCCUUUGAUAUCGCCAUCAAAUCACAACGCACAAAAUAUUGCGGACUCAAUAAAAUUGGUGUUGGCUCAGUGGCGUUUGUUAUCAAAGGUUGUUACAGUCACAACAGACAAUGACAGUACGAUGAAGAAA